UGGGGAAUAUUGCACAAUGGGCGCAAGCCUGAUGCAGCCAUGCCGCGUGUGUGAAGAAGGCCUUCGGGUUGUAAAGCACUUUCAGCGAGGAGGAAGGUGGUGAGCUUAAUACGCUCAUCAAUUGACGUUACUCGCAGAAGAAGCACCGGCUAACUCCGUGCCAGCAGCCGCGGUAAUACGGAGGGUGCAAGCGUUAAUCGGAAUUACUGGGCGUAAAGCGCACGCAGGCGGUUUGUUAAGUCAGAUGUGAAAUCCCCGGGCUCAACCUGGGAACUGCAUUUGAAACUGGCAAGCUAGAGUCUCGUAGAGGGGGGUAGAAUUCCAGGUGUAGCGGUGAAAUGCGUAGAGAUCUGGAGGAAUACCGGUGGCGAACGGCGGCCCCCUGGACGAAGACUGACGCUCAGGUGCGAAAGCGUGGGGCAGCAAACAGGAUUAGAUACCCUGGUAGUCCACGCUGUAAAACGAUGUCGAUUUUGGAGGUUGUGCCCUUGAGGCGUGGCUUCCGGAGCUAACGCGUUAAAUCGACCGCCUGGGGAGUACGGCCGCAAGGUUAAAACUUAAAUGAAUUGAC
This 571-nucleotide ribosomal RNA is filed under the name uncultured bacterium. RNAcentral describes it as "partial 16S ribosomal RNA". It matches the Rfam family "Bacterial small subunit ribosomal RNA", at positions 355 to 914 of the family's 1533-position model. The record is from RNAcentral.